Molecule: ribosomal RNA, 933 nt
Filed under: Arthrobacter sp.
Lineage: Bacteria; Bacillati; Actinomycetota; Actinomycetes; Micrococcales; Micrococcaceae
Description: bacterial SSU rRNA
Rfam family: Bacterial small subunit ribosomal RNA
Source: RNAcentral
ACGUGCCAGCAGCCGCGGUAAUACGUAGGGCGCAAGCGUUAUCCGGAAUUAUUGGGCGUAAAGAGCUCGUAGGCGGUUUGUCGCGUCUGCCGUGAAAGUCCGGGGCUUAACUCCGGAUCUGCGGUGGGUACGGGCAGACUAGAGUGCAGUAGGGGAGACUGGAAUUCCUGGUGUAGCGGUGAAAUGCGCAGAUAUCAGGAGGAACACCGAUGGCGAAGGCAGGUCUCUGGGCUGUAACUGACGCUGAGGAGCGAAAGCAUGGGGAGCGAACAGGAUUAGAUACCCUGGUAGUCCAUGCCGUAAACGUUGGGCACUAGGUGUGGGGGACAUUCCACGUUUUCCGCGCCGUAGCUAACGCAUUAAGUGCCCCGCCUGGGGAGUACGGCCGCAAGGCUAAAACUCAAAGGAAUUGACGGGGGCCCGCACAAGCGGCGGAGCAUGCGGAUUAAUUCGAUGCAACGCGAAGAACCUUACCAAGGCUUGACAUGAACCGGAAUGAUGCAGAGAUGUGUCAGCCACUUGUGGCCGGUUUACAGGUGGUGCAUGGUUGUCGUCAGCUCGUGUCGUGAGAUGUUGGGUUAAGUCCCGCAACGAGCGCAACCCUCGUUCCAUGUUGCCAGCGGGUUAUGCCGGGGACUCAUGGGAGACUGCCGGGGUCAACUCGGAGGAAGGUGGGGACGACGUCAAAUCAUCAUGCCCCUUAUGUCUUGGGCUUCACGCAUGCUACAAUGGCCGGUACAAAGGGUUGCGAUACUGUGAGGUGGAGCUAAUCCCAAAAAGCCGGUCUCAGUUCGGAUUGAGGUCUGCAACUCGACCUCAUGAAGUUGGAGUCGCUAGUAAUCGCAGAUCAGCAACGCUGCGGUGAAUACGUUCCCGGGCCUUGUACACACCGCCCGUCAAGUCACGAAAGUUGGUAACACCCGAAGCCGGUGG